Molecule: long non-coding RNA, 3885 nt
Filed under: Nicotiana tabacum (common tobacco)
Lineage: Eukaryota; Viridiplantae; Streptophyta; Magnoliopsida; Solanales; Solanaceae
Description: long non-coding RNA (NTAB_LNC006993)
Source: RNAcentral
CAAACAAUUCUGCCUCAACGAUUCAGGUUUCAUUUCUGAGCUUAAACUGAGUUAAAUUCUGAAAGUUUGAGGAGAUUUUUGGGUUAAAUUGUGAGACUCUUUUAGCUAAGACUUAUUUUGCUGGUUUGUCAUUGUUUCUACUGUUGAAAUUGGAAUUUAGUAGCUAUUUAGUUUAGAGUUAAGCUUGUCUACUGCUGGUGAAUGUCGAAUGAGUCUUUUGAGCUUGAAUUCGUAAGUUCGACGCGAAGUUGUUAUUGGUUGAACUAUUGUCGUGUCGUUGUUUUUCUACUGUCUAAAUCUGGAGAGUAGUGAUUGAACUGAAAUCUGUCAUAGCUUCUAUCAAGCUCUUGUUUGGCUGAAGUUCAUAAUAUAAAUUUAGUCUCCUUCUGCAUUUUGUGCACCAGUUCUGCAUUGUUUGAACUUGAAAGUCUUGACCCUAAGAGUUAGCUUAUUCAACUACUGGUUUGAAAAAUUGUACUGCUGGUUUCAUUUUGUGAGUUGAAAGAGUCCACCUGCUGCCACUGUUUGUGGAAGAGUUUCAGGUUGCACUUAGCUUCAGUUUGAACAUAGUUGGGCAGCAACUUGAACUGCAAAAUUCUGCAGAGAAGAACUCAAUUGAACUGUGCUUUUGACAGUAAUUUCUGCAUUUUUUUUUGUUGACUGUUUUAAGCUGAAUCUGUCUGUGCUGCUUCUGUAUUUUCCACACCGUUCAGCAGUAAAUACUACCUGUUUCUCCUCUGUUUGAGCAGUAAAAUCUGCCUAGUUAUGUACCCACUGCCAGUGCACUAGAUAAGUUUUUGCACCUGAAUUUGAAGUCACUUGGAUAAGUUUUCUGUUGGUGAAAUUGGCUUGAACUGUGAGUCAAGGUUUGGCUGCAAGUAUCUGCUGAGACCGGCGCUCAAUUGAGCAGUAAAUUGAGCUGAAGUUUCUGCACACUAAAUUAAGACUCUUUCUGCAGUUUUGCCCAGAAAUCGGUCGUGUACAUGUUCUACUUUAGUGUUUGCACCAGAUUUCUAUCUGUUUGUUCCUCAGAAGUUCAGUUGAGUUCUAUGGAGUAUUGUUUGCUGCUGAUUCAAGAACUGAAUACUUGUGUGAAUGUGAUGAGCCAAAAGGUCAUCUUAUGUUUUAGAACUUGAUUUCGUGUUCCCAGGCCUUCAAAACCUCAUUUUAUCUAUCAUCGAUUUGCAUGCGCAGUCGGGGCAUAUUUCUAGAAAGCUUUUAUUUGGAAAAUUGAUGAAAUAAUAAUUUUGGAUUAGAUUUUAGUUGACUUCGGUCAACGUUUUAAGUAAACGGACCCGGACCCGUAUUUUGACGGUCUCGGUGGGUCCGUAGUAAAAUAUGGGACCUGUGUGUAUGCCCAGAAUCGAAUUCCGUGGUCCCUAGCUCAAGAUAUGUAUUUUUUAUUAAAAUUGAAAAAUUGAAAUUAUAAUGGUUUUAAAAAUUUGGUUAAUAUUUGAUUUUGUUGGUAUCAGCUUCACAUUUUGGUUCCGGAGCCCGAUACAGAUCCGUUAUGAUAUUUACACCUUAUAUGUGAAAUUUGGUGAGAAACGGAACUGAUUUGACGUGAUUCGGACCUUCGGUUGUGAAAAUAGAAGUUUUAAAACUUUCUUGAAAAUUUCAUGCAACUUGGUGCUAAACUUGUGGUUCUAGGUGUUAUUUUGGCGAUUUGAUCGCGCGAGCAAGUUCGUAUGAUGUUUUAAGACUUGUGUGCAUGUUUGGUUGGGAGCCCCGAGGACUCGAGGGAGUUUCGGAUAGGCUACGGGAUGAUUUACACUUAGAAAAUCUGUUCUAUGUUGUUGCAUCUGGUGUACUGAUGCCUUGUGCUUCGCGAUUACGAAGCCAAUCUCGCGAAGUGGAAAUUGGCAGGGGGUGGUUUUCCUCUACGCGAUUGUGGAGCAACGAGGGUGUUACCCUUCGCGAAUGCGAAGAAUAUGGGACCCGGGGGAGGGGUCAUGCUCUUUUACGCGAACGCGACCGUUGGGUCGCGAACGCGAAGGCCGGGGGGGAGCUACCUUAUGUGAACGCGUAGAUAGGCUCGCGAACGCGAAGGCCUUAGGGCGCUGUGCAUCGUGAUCGCGACAGGUCUUCCGCGAAUGCAAUGAAGACCUGUCCAGUGUUUUUAAAACAGACUUCAAAUCGGGAAUUGUUCAAAAUUUCAUAUCUCUUUCACUAGAACUCAACCUAGGGCGAUUUUUUAAGAGAGAAUUCAACACCAAAUCAUAGGUUUGCCUUUUAACUCAUUUCCUUCAAUUUCCAUCAACACCCAUUGAAUUCCUAGUCCUAAAUCUUGUUCUUUAACGGUAGAAAAUUAGGGAUUUUGGGAGAAUUGAGGAUUUUGCAAAUUUGGGGAUUUAUACCUCGAUUUGGGAUCGGAUUCCGGAACGAAUUACAUAUUUGGGCUCGGGAUGAACGGGUGAAUGGGUUUUGGUUCUAACCUAGAGUUUUGACCAAGCGGGCUCGGGGUCGGUUUUUGACUUUUUGGGAAAAAUAUUGGGAAACUUAUAAUUAUGUAUUUGAAUUGAUUUCUUUAGCAAUUAUCGGAGUUAUUGUGUUAAUUAUGACUAGAUAUAAGUGGUUUGGAGAUGAAAACUAGAGGAAAAGCGGUAAUUGAGUAGUGAAUGGCCUGUGAAUCGAGGUAAGUGUUGUGUCUAACUUUAACUCGAGGGAUUAGAGAUUCCCAACUUAAUUUGCUAUGUGAAAAUCCAUGUGAGUGGCGUAUAGGCGAGGUGACGAGUACCUAUGCGCCGCCAAAUUAUCUGUUUUGCCUGUUCCUUUCCCCGUUCUUAAAAUAUUGUUUUCCUGUCUUAACUUCUACAUGUUUAUUGGUAUUUUCAUGUUUAAUUGCUACUUGUUAGACAUUGUUUUUCAUUAUUGAAGGUAUUUGCUAUCCCGUAGUUUCAUUGUAUUAUAUUAUUGGUUAAGCUGGUUUAUUGGUGUUUUAUAGUACAUCUUGGGUUGGUCUCGCUGUGUAGUAUUAAUUGAGUGAAGUUUCAUAAUUGUAUAGCUUUCUGUUUGCUUUGGUUUGAGGUUUAAAUAUUGUGGAAAGUUUAAAGCUAAAUUGUGAAAUUCCUAUUCUUAUUGUGUGAUUGGUACUAAUAUGGUAGGAUCGGGUUGCGCGCCGCAACAAGAGGAAUAACGGUGAUAUAUUGAGGAGGAAUAAGAGUGAAAUGCUAUUAUAUGGUGGGAUCGGGUUGCACGCCGCAACAUGAGUAAUAAGGGUAGUAUAUUGAGGAGGAAUAAGGGUGAAUUACUAUUGUACGGUGGGAUCGGGUUGCACGCCGCAACAGGAAGAAUAAGGGUGGAUUGAUAUGGAGUAAUAAGGGUGAAUAUUCAUAUUGAUAUUGAUUAUAUGGUGGUAUCAGGAUGCACGCCACAUCAGUUUAUGUGUUUAUGUGUCUUUCUUCUACUGUGCAAUUUAUUUUGCAGUUUGGCUUAUCACUUAAGGAUUGGUUAUAGCUGGGUAUUGAUGAGAUACCAGAGUUCUGUAUUCUUUCCUUGCAAGUUACUAUUUUAUUUGUUGCAUUCUUCUUUCUGUUUUAUUAUGCACUGCAUGCAGGUUAUAUUCUAACUGCCCCGCCGUAGCCUCGUCACUAUCUUGUCGAGGUUAGGCUCGGCACUUACCAGUACAUGGGGUCGGUUGUACUGAUACUGCACUCUGCACUUUUUGUGCCGUUUUCGGAGCAGGCAGUGGUUGAUUGAGAGAUUGGCUUCACAGUUCACAUUUAGCAGACCCAAGGUAGUCCUGUUGGCGUCCGUAGGCCCUGGCGUCCCCUUCUACAUCUCUAUUGUACUGUUUUAUUUACUUCCAAAACAGAUGUAAUUUCUUUCAGACCGAUGUUUGUAGAUAUUCAUAGUAUGUCCGUGGAUUGUGACACCAGAUUUUGG